This 76-nucleotide transfer RNA is filed under the name Candidatus Jorgensenbacteria bacterium. Its description in RNAcentral is "tRNA-Leu". It matches the Rfam family "tRNA". Rfam says of the family: Transfer RNA (tRNA) molecules are approximately 80 nucleotides in length. The record is from RNAcentral. Lineage: Bacteria; Candidatus Joergenseniibacteriota.
GCGGGAAUAGCUCAGCGCAGGCAGAGCGUCACCUGGAGAGAGGUGAAGGUCGCGGGUUCAAGUCCCGUUUCCCGCU